This 488-nucleotide long non-coding RNA is filed under the name Numida meleagris (helmeted guineafowl). RNAcentral's name for it is "lncRNA (ENSNMEG00000012795.1)". The record is from RNAcentral. Lineage: Eukaryota; Metazoa; Chordata; Aves; Galliformes; Numididae.
UAAGACAAGGGCACCUCUUGUUGGAGAUCCCUGUGUGCAUGAGGCCUUCUAAAGGUGAGCAGUGCUUUACCUCUGUUUCUGUAUCUGUGGUGGCUGCAUUUGGGCUUGUUCUCAUUUGCUGUUUCCAAAGACUUUGCUACCCCUCUAUUAUCACUGUACUUUCCAUCCCAUUAUAGCAUUACAGUGGGGGUGAUUGGAGUUAACAGGAGCCCAUGACCAGCUGAGUAUGGAAUGCUCCUCUGGUGCAGAAGAUCACAUCAUCACUUUAUCAUUGCUCCAGAUCUCUGGCGGACCCAAGACCUUCUGGCUAGACACAGAACUGGAGAUGCUCAUGUGAAAAAAAGCCAUAUAGAAAUGAUACACAAGUGAUAAAAGCUCUGAGUUCUCAAAAGAGUUACAGACAAGUCAUGUGCAAGACCCCAGCCCCAUCAUCUCCCACCUGAGUGACAAAGUGCUCAGCACAGCAACUGCACCGUGCCCUUGGGAAA